CUGGGGCUGCUACCAUGCGAGUCGAACGGGCGUAGCAAUACGUCAGUGGCAGACGGGUGAGUAACGCGUGGGAACGUACCUUUUGGUUCGGAACAACUGAGGGAAACUUCAGCUAAUACCGGAUAAGCCCUUACGGGGAAAGAUUUAUCGCCGAAAGAUCGGCCCGCGUCUGAUUAGCUAGUUGGUGAGGUAAUGGCUCACCAAGGCGACGAUCAGUAGCUGGUCUGAGAGGAUGAUCAGCCACAUUGGGACUGAGACACGGCCCAAACUCCUACGGGAGGCAGCAGUGGGGAAUAUUGGACAAUGGGGGCAACCCUGAUCCAGCCAUGCCGCGUGAGUGAUGAAGGCCCUAGGGUUGUAAAGCUCUUUUGUGCGGGAAGAUAAUGACGGUACCGCAAGAAUAAGCCCCGGCUAACUUCGUGCCAGCAGCCGCGGUAAUACGAAGGGGGCUAGCGUUGCUCGGAAUCACUGGGCGUAAAGGGUGCGUAGGCGGGUUUCUAAGUCAGAGGUGAAAGCCUGGAGCUCAACUCCAGAACUGCCUUUGAUACUGGAAGUCUUGAGUAUGGCAGAGGUGAGUGGAACUGCGAGUGUAGAGGUGAAAUUCGUAGAUAUUCGCAAGAACACCAGUGGCGAAGGCGGCUCACUGGGCCAUUACUGACGCUGAGGCACGAAAGCGUGGGGAGCAAACAGGAUUAGAUACCCUGGGUAGUCCACGCCGUAUACGAUGAAUGCCAGCCGUUAGUGGGUUUACUCACUAGUGGCGCAGCUAACGCUUUAAGCAUUCCGCUGGGGAGUACGGUCGCAGAUUAAACUCAAGGAG
This 820-nucleotide ribosomal RNA is filed under the name uncultured Rhodopseudomonas sp. RNAcentral describes it as "bacterial SSU rRNA". It matches the Rfam family "Bacterial small subunit ribosomal RNA", at positions 43 to 908 of the family's 1533-position model. Lineage: Bacteria; Pseudomonadati; Pseudomonadota; Alphaproteobacteria; Hyphomicrobiales; Nitrobacteraceae. The record is from RNAcentral.